RNAcentral lists this ribosomal RNA (219 nucleotides) under uncultured bacterium. RNAcentral's name for it is "partial 16S ribosomal RNA". It matches the Rfam family "Bacterial small subunit ribosomal RNA", at positions 111 to 334 of the family's 1533-position model. The record is from RNAcentral.
UAAUGUAUGGGGAUCUGCCCGAUAGAGGGGAAUAACUACUGGAAACGGUGGCUAAUACCGCAUAAUGUCUACGGACCAAAGCAGGGGCUCUUCGGACCUUGCACUAUCGGAUGAACCCAUAUGGGAUUAGCUAGUAGGUGGGGUAAAGGCUCACCUAGGCGACAUCUCUAGCUGGUCUGAGAGGAUGAUCAGCCACACUGGGACUGAGACACGGCCCAG